RNAcentral lists this ribosomal RNA (253 nucleotides) under uncultured bacterium. RNAcentral's name for it is "partial 16S ribosomal RNA". It matches the Rfam family "Bacterial small subunit ribosomal RNA", at positions 524 to 776 of the family's 1533-position model. The record is from RNAcentral.
UACAGAGGGGGCAAGCGUUGUUCGGAAUUACUGGGCGUAAGGGGCGCGUAGGCGGCCUGUUAAGUCGAACGUGAAAUCCCCGGGCUCAACCCGGGAACUGCGUCCGAUACUGGCAGGCUUGAAUUCGGGAGAGGGAUGCGGAAUUCCAGGUGUAGCGGUGAAAUGCGUAGAUAUCUGGAGGAACACCGGUGGCGAAGGCGGCAUCCUGGACCGAGAUUGACGCUGAGGCGCGAAAGCCAGGGGAGCAAACGGG